UGGUGGCGACCGGCGCACGGGUGAGUAACGCGUAUGCAACCCAUCUAUCAGAGGGGAAUAACCCGGCGAAAGUCGGACUAAUACCGCAUAAAACAGGGACACCGCAUGGUGAUAUUUGUUAAAGAAAUUCGCUGAUAGAUGGGCAUGCGUUCCAUUAGGUAGUUGGUGAGGUAACGGCUCACCAAGCCGACGAUGGAUAGGGGAACUGAGAGGUUGGUCCCCCACACUGGUACUGAGACACGGACCAGACUCCUACGGGAGGCAGCAGUGAGGAAUAUUGGUCAAUGGGCGAGAGCCUGAACCAGCCAAGUCGCGUGAAGGAAGAAGGAUCUAUGGCUCGUAAACUUCUUUUGCAGGGGAAUAAAGUGCAGGACGUGUCCUGUUUUGUAUGUACCCUGAGAAUAAGGAUCGGCUAACUCCGUGCCAGCAGCCGCGGUAAUACGGAGGAUCCGAGCGCUAUCCGGAUUUAUUGGGUUUAAAGGGUGCGUAGGUGGUUUGAUAAGUCAGCGGUGAAAGUUUGCAGCUUAACUGUAAAAAUGCCGUUGAAACUGUCGGACUUGAGUGUAAAUGAGGUAGGCGGAAUGCGUGGUGUAGCGGUGAAAUGCUUAGAUAUCACGAAGAACUCCGAUUG
RNAcentral lists this ribosomal RNA (631 nucleotides) under uncultured Porphyromonadaceae bacterium. RNAcentral describes it as "bacterial SSU rRNA". It matches the Rfam family "Bacterial small subunit ribosomal RNA", at positions 86 to 715 of the family's 1533-position model. Lineage: Bacteria; Pseudomonadati; Bacteroidota; Bacteroidia; Bacteroidales; Porphyromonadaceae. The record is from RNAcentral.